This 392-nucleotide ribosomal RNA is filed under the name uncultured bacterium. RNAcentral's name for it is "bacterial SSU rRNA". It matches the Rfam family "Bacterial small subunit ribosomal RNA", at positions 29 to 412 of the family's 1533-position model. The record is from RNAcentral.
AACGAACGCUGGCGGCGCGCCUAAUACAUGCAAGUCGAGCGAGAAGACGUAGCAAUACGUUUGUAAAGCGGCGAACGGGUGAGGAAUACAUGGGUAACCUACCCUCGAGUGGGGAAUAACUAGCCGAAAGGUUAGCUAAUACCGCGUACGCUCCUUGGACUUCGGUUCAGGGAGGAAAGCGAUACCGUGGGUAUCGCGCUCUUGGAUGGGCUCAUGUCCUAUCAGCUUGUUGGUGAGGUAACGGCUCACCAAGGCUUCGACGGGUAGCUGGUCUGAGAGGACGAUCAGCCACACUGGCACUGCGACACGGGCCAGACUCCUACGGGAGGCAGCAGUAAGGAUAUUGCGCAAUGGGCGAAAGCCUGACGCAGCGACGCCGCGUGGGGGAUGAA